CUACGGAGGGUGCAAGCGUUACUCGGAAUCACUGGGCGUAAAGCGCGCGCAGGCGGUCUUUUAAGUUGGAUGUGAAAGCCUACGGCUCAACCGUAGAACUGCAUCCAAAACUAUUAGACUAGAGUGUGGGAGAGGAAGAUGGAAUUAGUUGUGUAGGGGUAAAAUCAGUAGAGAUAACUAGGAAUACAAAAAGCGAAGGCAAUCUUCUGGAACACUACUGACGCUGAGGCGCGAAAGCGUGGGGAGCAAACAGGAUUAGAAACCCUAGUAGUCC
RNAcentral lists this ribosomal RNA (274 nucleotides) under uncultured bacterium. RNAcentral describes it as "partial 16S ribosomal RNA". It matches the Rfam family "Bacterial small subunit ribosomal RNA", at positions 523 to 796 of the family's 1533-position model. The record is from RNAcentral.